Molecule: long non-coding RNA, 2318 nt
Filed under: Jatropha curcas
Lineage: Eukaryota; Viridiplantae; Streptophyta; Magnoliopsida; Malpighiales; Euphorbiaceae
Description: long non-coding RNA (JCUR_LNC001852)
Source: RNAcentral
CCCAUCCUUCACUGUAUCCCUUCCCAAUUUCUUUAGGACGCCUGCAAUUCCAGCAGCAGAUAGGCGGGCACCACGAGAGGCAACAAUGCCACAGAGCUCAACAAUAACUUUUCUCAUUUUCAGGGAGGUAUUAGGUAUCUGAGCAAGAAAUAAGAAACCAGAUAACAGAUGCUAUUAUAAAAUCAAGAAAAUUAUUUUGCUGCAUGAUUGUUAAGUUCACAUGUUAAUGACAAAAAUUGCAACUCUUGUAUUUACUUCUAUAUUUUUCAGCAAGAAUGCUUCGACACUCAAUAAGGCAUUCGAACAUCUUGCAUGAAAUGACCGUUGUUUUUCAACUUGGGGUUAGGUGUACGGACAAAUUGCCUUCUGCCAGGCCUUCCAUGAGAGAUGUAUUGCAAAUCCUUCGUCAAUGCAAUAAUCCCACUUGUUUAUGGACUCGAGGAUAUAGGAAGAGAGAGUCAAGCUGUUAGGACAUUAUUGCAUAGGAUGUGAAAUUGUGAGUCCAAUUGAAAUGAUAAUAUUGCACUUUUUUUUUUUUUUUUCUUUUUUUUUUGUGAAACCGAGUCCUAGACUCCUAGUGUAAAUAAUUGUGAUGUGGCAAUAUGAUUAUAUGCUGAUGUGUAUUAGUUAGGUGAUGUGGCUGUGAUGCAAGAUGUAUAUAAACAAAAUCCUACCAUUAGUAAAAAUAAUAUAAUCUAAAUUUUUAAGCAUCUCCCAUGAAAUUAUUUAUGACUAUCUCAAAACUUAAAUUACUCUACUUAACUUUAAGACCAAACUCAAGAGCCUCCCAUAUAUCUGCCAUGUAGCUUUUAGCUAACAUUUGUGUGAUUGAGAUUUUAUAUGCCUUUUCGCAUAGAGAGAGUUAACAAAUUUUAGCUCUAAAGUUCAAUGAAAACAAUUUUCAGAAUUCUGUCAAAAUUUGAGUAGAAAACCUUAAAAUUUGGACAUUUAGUACCUGUAAUAAAGCAGUGAUUUAUAUAAAAUUAUAGCCGUCAGAAGUCACUAUAGACUCUUAUCACAUCAACAGAAAUUAAAAUGCUCACUCGGCAACAUAAUAAUCCCAUCCUCCACUAACAAUUCAUAUUCCACAACCGAAAUUUAAUUUAAAAAAAUUAGCAUACAAGGAAAUAAAAGAAUGCCUCUUCAGACACUAACAUUUCUUUAAUCUCACACAUUCAUUUCCAUUUUCAUGAAAGCUAAAUUUACACCAACCUGGGUAUCUUAUACUAACUAUUUAUAUUAGGUUUCUAAUCAUGUUGUUUAAGUUAAGAACUUAAUUAUAGUUAACCAAUUAAUCAGAUGAGUUACACUAAUAGCCAAUUCAAAUUUGUUAUCACAGCUAACGAUAAAAGAAAAUCUCCUCCUUAUUUCCAAUUGACCAGAGAAACAUAUUUGCCGAAUGUUGCUACUCAAAUAGCAGAAGUUUUUACAUCCCCCAGUUUUAUUUACCAGCUCCUAUAAAUUAAAGUACAAAAAAGAAAGAGAGAGACGAGGGAUCAAAAUAGCAGGCCUAGGCAUGGAAGCUUGAGAACAUGGCUGGCACUAUGCGAGUAUUUGAUCCAUCACUAAUUAUAAGCUCUAUAAGACCAUACACUAAGAACUUGCUGGCAUUACCUCAUGAACUAGGAGUCAUCAGUAGCUCUAGAUGAUCUGGAGUAACUGAUAGGAAGGGGGAAUGGAUAAUGUAUAAAAAUUUAAAAAAUGUACAUUCCUUUUAUCUAUCUAUACCUUUUCAAGAUUCUGCCACAUCUAGGUAUUGGGAGUGGGAGGCAGCCAGGAGGGCUGCUCCAAUGCCAGAGCCAUCAUUCGAGUGCUCAAUUACAAUGCUCUCAGAAACUUCCUCUCCAAGCAACUCCUUGAGAGUGCUCUCCAUGCAGACACGGAAUUUAGUGUAGUGCUCAAACAACCCACCAUCCAAUGCUAUUACCGACCUCUGCUUUUCCCCAUCCUUCACUGUAUCCCUUCCCAAUUUCUUUAGGACGCCUGCAAUUCCAGCAGCAGAUAGGCGGGCACCACGAGAGGCAACAAUGCCACAGAGCUCAACAAUAACUUUUCUCAUUUUCAGGGAGGUAUUAGGUAUCUGAGCAAGAAAUAAGAAACCAGAUAACAGAUGCUAUUAUAAAAUCAAGAAAAUUAUUUUGCUGCAUGAUUGUUAAGUUCACAUGUUAAUGACAAAAAUUGCAACUCUUGUAUUUACUUCUAUAUUUUUCAGCAAGAAUGCUUCGACACUUGAUUUUCUAAGAAUCACAAAAUGAUAUUAGAUAAUACAGAUGCGGAAAGUUUUGAUAAAACUAAAUGGAAUCAAAAGAGCACGAAAU